Myotis myotis is the source of this 534-nucleotide long non-coding RNA. RefSeq lists it as uncharacterized. The record is from RefSeq and is a predicted model, not a curated record. Lineage: Eukaryota; Metazoa; Chordata; Mammalia; Chiroptera; Vespertilionidae. The transcript has 3 exons.
CAUUUGCUAGUCAUCUCAGGCCGAUAUCCUUGAUAUCCUUGUCUGUGGGGCCGUGGCCAGGAAGUCUUCCCGGAGAGCCUGGUCCAGACCAGGCCCAGGCCAGCGCCAGCGCUCUCCCCGGCCCUGCGAGUGCGAGUCCCGCCCGGGCUCACCGUGGGCCGCCGCUGCAGCCGCGGUUCUGAAGCCAAAGGUCGCAGCCCAAGUUCAGCGCCAGGGUGUGCGGGGCAAGGGGGCACCCCAGGACCCUGCGUGCGCUGCCCACCGCGGAACCUGAGCCGCCGGGAUGGAGCGGGAGAGUGGGGGUGGGCGAACCCCCCUUUCGGCUUUCCCACGCUCAAGCCUAAUGCAUUCAGUUUAUUUUUCUUGUAUAAAAACACGUGGUGGCCAACGCUGGAGCCCGGGUCCUCUGCAUGGAGACGCUCCCAUGGAGCUUAACUAGAAGUGAUAACACUUUAUUUGAGGCAUCAAGCAAUAUACUGAAAGAGGUGAGUCAUGCGCAAGUAAUGUCCUUAUUUCCAUAAUUGUACAUUUGAU